AAUAGAUACCCCUGGUAGUCCUAGCCGUAAACGAUACUCGCUAGGUGUCGGCCACGGUGCGACCGUUGUCGGUGCCGUAGGGAAGCCGUGAAGCGAGCCACCUGGGAAGUACGGCCGCAAGGCUGAAACUUAAAGGAAUUGGCGGGGGAGCACCACAACGGGUGGAGCUUGCGGUUUAAUUGGAUUCAACGCCGGAAAUCUUACCGGGACCGACAGCAAUAUGAAGGCCAGGCUGAAGACUUUGCCGGAUUAGCUGAGAGGUGGUGCAUGGCCGUCGUCAGUUCGUACUGUGAAGCAUCCUGUUAAGUCAGGCAACGAGCGAGACCCACGCCCACAGUUGCCAGCGUACUCUCUGGAGUGACGGGUACACUGUGGGGACCGCCGCUGCUAUAGCGGAGGAAGGAAUGGGCAACGGUAGGUCAGUAUGCCCCGAAUAUCCCGGGCUACACGCGAGCUACAAUGGUUGGUACAAUGGGUAUCUACCCCGAAAGGGGACGGAAGUCUCCUAAACCAAUCUUAGUUCGGAUUGAGGGCUGCAACUCG
RNAcentral lists this ribosomal RNA (543 nucleotides) under uncultured bacterium. RNAcentral describes it as "bacterial SSU rRNA". It matches the Rfam family "Archaeal small subunit ribosomal RNA", at positions 728 to 1270 of the family's 1478-position model. The record is from RNAcentral.